UUGUCGCUCGUCACUCGCUUCGGCGGUAUCGAGAGGAAAGUCCGGGCAACGCAGAGUAUCACAUUUCUUAACGGGAAGCUAUUGGCGACAGUAGGGUUAAGGUGACAGAAAACAACCGCCGGCCACGGCCGGUAAGGGUGAAAAGGCGAGGUAAGAGCUCACCGGGCACUGUGGCGACACGGUGCGUCGCACCACCUGUGAGUUGCAAGGUCAAGUAUAUCGGCAUUCAAGGGUUACUCGUCCAUUGCCGAGGGGUGGACUGCUAUAUCGCACUGGCAACAGGGCGGACAGAUAAAUGACAAGCGGCGGCCACGCCAGCGCAUGCGGGCUGGCCGACACAUAACCCGGCUUACAACUGCAC
Molecule: RNase P RNA, 361 nt
Filed under: pig gut metagenome
Description: Bacterial RNase P class A
Rfam family: Bacterial RNase P class A
About the family: Ribonuclease P (RNase P) is a ubiquitous endoribonuclease, found in archaea, bacteria and eukarya as well as chloroplasts and mitochondria. Its best characterised activity is the generation of mature 5'-ends of tRNAs by cleaving the 5'-leader elements of precursor-tRNAs.
Source: RNAcentral